GGCUUGGUGGUGCAAUGGUAACAUACCUACUUCAUAUACCAGAGGGCUCUUGUCUUCAGUAGGGGAUCCUUGUUCAAUUCAAGGCCAAGCCA
This is a non-coding RNA of Mycena latifolia, 92 nucleotides long. NCBI's taxonomy places the organism in Eukaryota, Fungi, Basidiomycota, Agaricomycetes, Agaricales, Mycenaceae. The record is from the annotation of a GenBank genome assembly.